GUCUGUGUGGGUUAAGUAGGUACACAGUCUAGCCUGCCCCCUGAGUUCGACUUAAAGGGCCGCGGUAAUUUGACCGUGCAAAGGUAGCAUAAUCAUUAGUUCUUUAAUUGAGGGCUUGUAUGAAUGGCUGCAUGGAAAGAAGUUUGUCUCUUUAAGUAGUAUUUUGAAUUUAACAUUUGUGUGAAAAGGCAUUAAUGAUUUAGGGGGACGAUAAGACCCUAUGAAGUUUGGAUAUAGAUUAGGAUUUUAUAAUUGAGUUGUUGAUUAAUAAUGUGGGGGCCUGAUUAGUAUUAGGUUGGGGCGACUGAAAUAUAAUGUGGUGUAUAACUAUUCUAGUGUUUAUAAUAUAAAUAUAUAGAUAUUGAUCCUUUAAUUAAGAUUAUUAAAUUAAGUUACUCUAGGGAUAACAGCGUAAUUUUACUUGAGAGUUCAUAUCGAUAGUAUAAGUUGCGACCUCGAUGUUGAAUUAAAAUUUCUUUUAGGUGCAGCAGUUUAAAGAGUGGGUCUGUUCGACCCUUAAAAUUUUACAUGAUUUGAGUUCAGACCGGUGUGAG
RNAcentral lists this ribosomal RNA (554 nucleotides) under Automate evermanni. RNAcentral's name for it is "partial large subunit ribosomal RNA". It matches the Rfam family "Bacterial large subunit ribosomal RNA", at positions 1819 to 2625 of the family's 2925-position model. Lineage: Eukaryota; Metazoa; Arthropoda; Malacostraca; Decapoda; Alpheidae. The record is from RNAcentral.